Molecule: RNA transcript, 2414 nt
Organism: Symphalangus syndactylus (siamang)
Lineage: Eukaryota; Metazoa; Chordata; Mammalia; Primates; Hylobatidae
Gene: RSRP1
Gene name: arginine and serine rich protein 1
Source: RefSeq, a predicted model, not a curated record
ACGUCUCUGCGCAUGCGCCGGGCGCCAGCUUCUAGUACUUUCGACGCGUCUGCUGAUGUAGUCCCUCAGUGCGCGUCCAGACGUCGGAGGUGGAGGUUGUGGGUUUCACUGUUCGAGAGCAGGGACGAAAAGCCCUUCUUGGUCUUACGUUCCGAAAAGAAGGCGUGCGUUGGGCCUUUCUUUCAGUCGUGAGGGAGGCGUCGACGGCCUGCGAAGUCCGGAGUUGAGGCUUGCGGGAUCUUUUCCGGAGAAAGCGCAGGCUAAAGCCGCAGGGGAAGAUGUCCAACUACGUGAACGACAUGUGGCCGGGCUCGCCGCAGGAGAAGGAUUCGCCCUCGACCUCGCGGUCGGGCGGGUCCAGCCGGCUCUCGUCGCGGUCUAGGAGCCGCUCUUUUUCCAGAAGCUCUCGGUCCCAUUCCCGCGUCUCGAGUCGGUUUUCGUCCAAGAGUCGGAGCCGGAGGAGCAAGUCAAGGUCCCGUUCCCGAAGGCGCCACCAGCGGAAGUACAGGCGCUACUCGCGGUCAUACUCGCGGAGCCGGUCGCGAUCCCGCAUCCGCCGUUACCGAGAGAGGCGCCACGGAUUCUCCAGGAGAUACUACCGGUCUCCUUCGCGGUCCCGGUCCCGGUCCCGGUCCCGUAGCAGGUCGCACUCUCGGGGAAGGUCAUAUUGCGGAAGGGCGUACGCGAUCGCGCGGGGGCAGCGCUACUACGGCUUUGGUCGCACGGUGUACCCGGAGGAGCACAGCAGAUGGAGGGACAGAUCCAGGACGAGGUCGCGGAGCAGAACCCCCUUUCGUUUAAGUGAAAAAGAUCGAAUGGAGCUGUUAGAAAUAGCAAAAGCCAAUGCAGCGAAAGCUUUAGGAACAACCAACAUUGACUUGCCACCUAGUCUCAGAACUGUACCUGUAGCCAAAGAAACAAGCCGUGGAAUAGGUGUGUCAAGUAAUGGUGCAAAGCCUGAAGUAAGUAUUCUAGGUUUGUCCGAACAAAGCUUUCAGAAAGCCAACUGUCAAAUCUGAUUAGCCAUUUAUAUCUUACCUUAAGACUAUACUUUUUGGGAAGUCUAGAGAUAUAUAUAAUGUGCUAAAUUCAAAGUAGCAAAUCUGAAGAUAGGCAAGGUCAUACCCAUGAAAAUGGGAGAUUAAUGAGCUUUAUUUGGCCGUGCAUGGUGCCUCAUGCCUGUAAUGAGGCAGAUGGCUUGAGUCCAGGAGUUCCAGACUAGCCUGGGCAAUGUGGCAAAACCACGUGUUUACAAAAAAUACAAAAAUUAGCCAGGCAUGGUGAUGCCUGUAGUCCCAGCUGUUUGGGAGGCUGAGGCAGGAGGAUCUUUGAGCCCAGGAUGCUAAGGUUGCAGUGAGCCAAGAUUGCACCAUUGCACUCUAGCCUGGGCAGCAGAGUGAGACCCUGUCUCAAAAAAUACAUUUAUUUUUUUCAUUUUCAGUUAACACUAUACUCUUAUAACACCGUUAUUAGCUGGUACUUUGGUGAUUUCUAUUACUAGUUUUUCUAAGCUAUUUACAGAGUGUUUGUAGCAUUCAUUUGCAGCAUUAUGUUCCCACAAAUUCUGUACUCAGCAUAUACAGUAGAGUUUAUCUGCUUUAUUUCUGUCUUAUAGAAAUCAUGAAUGUGGUCUGCAGACAUUGAUGAAGAAAAUCUGUUGAUGUUUUGAGAGAUUACAGAAGAGGAGGCCUGCUUCACUUGCAGAUAAGUUUAUUAUAAUUCUCCAGAAAUGUGCAGGAUGUGCAUUAGCAAAUUGCACUGUACUUUUCACUCCAGCCUGGGUGACAGAGCAAGACUCCCGUUUCGGGGGAAAGAGAAAAAAAAAAGAUGCUGUAUCUAAAUGAAUCUGUGCAAUUGGGCCCAGACGUGGGUUUGCUCAGUGUUAAUAGACAAGGUCUUCGUUCAGACGAUUAGGUGCCUAAUUGGCAAAUGCCUUAGUUUCUUAAAACGAGGUAUUUUCUGACGUGGCUUUACUUUUCAAAAGUUAACUUGAUUCAACCUGAGAAAACUGAUUAAAAAAUUAGUUUAAAUUUGCCAUCAGGGAAGUAAAAUAAUUAUGGGAAGAGUGUCUUGAGCCUAAUAUUAAAUCGGUUUUGUUAAGGGGAAAACUCAAUAGUUCUGUUACUUAGGCUGUUAGAUCCAAGUUGGUUUUUGUGUCUACAACUAAAUUUUGUAUACAAUUAGGCUAUUUUUUAAUAUAGGAUUUAGAAACCAAGGGUAUGUGUUUUAAAAUUACACUUUUUCUUAACCUCUCUAGCUGUUGGAAAAGGUAACAGAAGAUGGAACUCGAAAUCCCAAUGAAAAACCUACCCAGCAAAGAAGCAUAGCUUUUAGCUCUAAUAAUUCUGUAGCAAAGCCAAUACAAAAAUCAGCUAAAGCUGCCACAGAAGAGACAUCUUCAAGAUCACCAAAAA